This 461-nucleotide ribosomal RNA is filed under the name Bacillus wiedmannii. RNAcentral describes it as "bacterial LSU rRNA". It matches the Rfam family "Bacterial large subunit ribosomal RNA", at positions 1 to 503 of the family's 2925-position model. Lineage: Bacteria; Bacillati; Bacillota; Bacilli; Caryophanales; Bacillaceae. The record is from RNAcentral.
GUUAUAUGGUCAAGUGAAGAAGCGCAUACGGUGGAUGCCUUGGCAGUCAGAGGCGAUGAAAGACGUGAUAGACUGCGAUAAGCUCCGGGGAGUCGGCAAAUAGACUGUGAUCCGGAGAUCUCUGAAUGGGGGAACCCACCUAGGAUAACCUAGGUAUCUUGUACUGAAUCCAUAGGUGCAAGAGGCGAACCAGGGGAACUGAAACAUCUAAGUANCCUGAGGAAUAGAAAUCAACCGAGAUUCCCUUAGUAGUGGCGAGCGAACGGGGACCAGCCCUUAAGCUGUGUUGAGAUUAGUGGAACGCUCUGGAAAGUGCGGCCAUAGUGGGUGAUAGCCCCGUACACGAAAAUCUCUUUGCAGUGAAAUCGAGUAGGACGGAGCACGAGAAACUUUGUCUGAACAUGGGGGGACCAUCCUCCAAGGCUAAAUACUACUGACUGACCGAUAGUGAACCAGUACCG